Molecule: ribosomal RNA, 505 nt
Filed under: uncultured bacterium
Lineage: Bacteria
Description: partial 16S ribosomal RNA
Rfam family: Bacterial small subunit ribosomal RNA
Source: RNAcentral
AGUGAACGCUGGCGGUAGGCCUAACACACGCAAGUCGAACGGCAGCACAGGAGAGCUUGCUCUCUGGGUGGCGAGUGGCGGACGGGUGAGGAAUACAUCGGAAUCUACCUUUUCGUGGGGGAUAACGUAGGGAAACUUACGCUAAUACCGCAUACGACCUACGGGUGAAAGUGGGGGACCGCAAGGCCUCACGCGAUUAGAUGAGCCGAUGUCCGAUUAGCUAGGUGGCGGGGUAAUGGCCCACCAAGGCGACGAUCGGUAGCUGGUCUGAGAGGAUAAUCAGCCACACUGGAACUGAGAAACGGUCCAGACUCCUACGGGAGGCAGCAGUGGGGAAUAUUGGACAAUGGGCGCAAGCCUGAUCCAGCCAUACCGCGUGGGUGAAGAAGGCCUUCGGGUUGUAAAGCCCUUUUGUUGGGAAAGAAAUCCUAUCGGUUAAUAACCGGUGGGAUGACGGUACCCAAAGAAUAAGCACCGGCUAACUUCGUGCCAGCAGCCGCGGUAA